GUGAGCGUAUGAGAAUCGGGGGGAGUGAAGAGAUGGCCUGGCUGCAGAUAUGUGAGCCGACGGAGAAGGAUAAAGGAAAAUACACUUUUGAGAUUUUUGAUGGCAAAGAUAACCAUCAACGCUCCCUCGACCUGUCCGGACAAGAUCGGGGCAGGUUGAUUGGCGGCUUGCCUGACGUGGUGACCAUCAUGGAGGGGAAGACCUUGAAUCUAACCUGCACGGUGUUUGGAAACCCUGACCCCGAAGUGGUUUGGUUCAAGAACGACCAGGACAUCCAGCUCAGUGAGCACUUCUCAGUGAAGGUGGAGCAGGCCAAGUACGUCAGCAUGACCAUCAAAGGCGUGACCUCCGAGGACUCGGGCAAGUACAGCAUCAACAUCAAGAACAAGUAUGGCGGGGAGAAGAUUGACGUGACGGUGAGCGUGUACAAAUACGGGGAGAAGAUCCCAGACAUGGCCCCGCCCCAGCAAGCCAAGCCCAAGCUCAUCCCGGCGUCUGCCUCAGCGCCAGGCCAGUGAAGGCGUUUUCCUAGCCUGGAGAUGGGAAAAUAUGCUUGGCAGAGACAGGAAUGCUGUGUGCUUGUUCCAAAGGAGCGGCCGGCGUCCCAGUGGCGUCCUGUAUGGGCUGAUAGUUGAUCACACAUUGUGCUUUUGAUUUUUGCAUUUGGUGAUGAAUAUUUUAUACCCGUCUAAGGGAGAAAGCUAAUGUUUUCCACAAGACUGAACAACGUGUAUUUACACGAGGGUAGAUGGCAGAUGCCUGACAGAAUGGGUUGGCAGACAACACACUAGUGUUUUCACGGGUGUGGGCACAUGGGCGUGGCACCCGGACGUGUGCAGCAUAUGGCGGUCUGUGUGAAGCUACCGUGCUUCUCUUUGGGGGCCGCGAGAUCUAGCAUCUCUGAAAUCCUGGCUGUGGAGCCUUUGAAGCAUGUGUUACCUGGUUAAGCUUGUUUUCUCUUGCUUUAGGCAA
RNAcentral lists this small RNA (972 nucleotides) under Pongo abelii (Sumatran orangutan). Its description in RNAcentral is "processed transcript". Lineage: Eukaryota; Metazoa; Chordata; Mammalia; Primates; Hominidae. The record is from RNAcentral.